RNAcentral lists this ribosomal RNA (498 nucleotides) under uncultured bacterium. RNAcentral's name for it is "partial 16S ribosomal RNA". It matches the Rfam family "Bacterial small subunit ribosomal RNA", at positions 29 to 523 of the family's 1533-position model. The record is from RNAcentral.
AUUGAACGCUGGCGGCAUGCCUUACACAUGCAAGUCGAACGGUAACGCGGGGCAACCUGGCGACGAGUGGCGAACGGGUGAGUAAUGCAUCGGAACGUGCCCAGUAGUGGGGGAUAGCCCGGCGAAAGCCGGAUUAAUACCGCAUACGACCUACGGGUGAAAGCGGGGGACCGCAAGGCCUCGCGCUAUUGGAGCGGCCGAUGUCAGAUUAGCUAGUUGGUGGGGUAAAGGCCUACCAAGGCGACGAUCUGUAGCUGGUCUGAGAGGACGACCAGCCACACUGGGACUGAGACACGGCCCAGACUCCUACGGGAGGCAGCAGUGGGGAAUAUUGGACAAUGGGGGGAACCCUGAUCCAGCCAUGCCGCGUGUGUGAAGAAGGCCUUAUGGUUGUAAACUGCUUUUGUACGGAACGAAAAGCCCUGGGUUAAUACCCUGGGGUCAUGACGGUACCGUAAGAAUAAGCACCGGCUAACUACGUGCCAGCCGCCGCGGUAA